GAUGAACGCUGACAGAAUGCUUAGCACAUGCAAGUCAACUUGAACUUCGGUUUGGGUGGCGGACGGGUGAGUAACGCGUACAGAACUUACCUCACAGCUAGGGACAACUUUUGGAAACGAAUGCUAAUACCUGAUAUGAUGAUUAUAUGGCAUCGUAUAAUUAUGACAUCUAUAUGCGCUGUGAGAGAGCUUUGCGUCCCAUUAGCUAUUUGGAAAGGUAACAGCGCACAAAGGCGAUGAUGGGUAGCCGGCCUGAGAGGGUGAUCGGCCACAAGGGGCCGGAGGCACGACCCGUAGUGAUUCUGGAGGCAUGAGUGGAGAACAGUGGAAGAAACACCGAGAGUGUGAUGAAGCAAUUCUGUGUGCACGAUGAAGUUAUUAGGAAUGAAAAGAGCUGUCAGUUGGUAAGAAAAAAAUGACGGUACCAAAAGAAGAAGCGACGGCUAAAUACGUG
This 454-nucleotide ribosomal RNA is filed under the name uncultured bacterium. RNAcentral describes it as "partial 16S ribosomal RNA". It matches the Rfam family "Bacterial small subunit ribosomal RNA", at positions 28 to 507 of the family's 1533-position model. The record is from RNAcentral.